RNAcentral lists this ribosomal RNA (253 nucleotides) under uncultured bacterium. Its description in RNAcentral is "partial 16S ribosomal RNA". It matches the Rfam family "Bacterial small subunit ribosomal RNA", at positions 524 to 776 of the family's 1533-position model. The record is from RNAcentral.
UACGUAGGGUGCGAGCGUUAAUCGGAAUUACUGGGCGUAAAGCGUGCGCAGGCGGUGAUGUAAGACAGUUGUGAAAUCCCCGGGCUCAACCUGGGAACUGCAUCUGUGACUGCAUCGCUGGAGUGCGGCAGAGGGGGAUGGAAUUCCGCGUGUAGCAGUGAAAUGCGUAGAUAUGCGGAGGAACACCGAUGGCGAAGGCAAUCCCCUGGGCCUGCACUGACGCUCAUGCACGAAAGCGUGGGGAGCAAACCGG